AUUGAACGCUGGCGGCAGGCUUAACACAUGCAAGUCGAGCGGAGAGAGGUAGCUUGCUACUGAUCUUAGCGGCGGACGGGUGAGUAAUGCUUAGGAAUCUGCCUAUUAGUGGGGGACAACAUUUCGAAAGGAAUGCUAAUACCGCAUACGUCCUACGGGAGAAAGCAGGGGAUCUUCGGACCUUGCGCUAAUAGAUGAGCCUAAGUCGGAUUAGCUAGUUGGUGGGGUAAAGGCCUACCAAGGCGACGAUCUGUAGCGGGUCUGAGAGGAUGAUCCGCCACACUGGGACUGAGACACGGCCCAGACUCCUACGGGAGGCAGCAGUGGGGAAUAUUGGACAAUGGGCGCAAGCCUGAUCCAGCCAUGCGCGUGUGUGAAGAAGGCCUUAUGGUUGUAAAGCACUUUAAGCGAGGAGGAGGCUACUUUAGUUAAUACCUAGAGAUAGUGGACGUUACUCGCAGAAUAAGCACCGGCUAACUCUGUG
This 484-nucleotide ribosomal RNA is filed under the name uncultured bacterium. Its description in RNAcentral is "partial 16S ribosomal RNA". It matches the Rfam family "Bacterial small subunit ribosomal RNA", at positions 30 to 507 of the family's 1533-position model. The record is from RNAcentral.